Molecule: ribosomal RNA, 500 nt
Filed under: uncultured bacterium
Lineage: Bacteria
Description: partial 16S ribosomal RNA
Rfam family: Bacterial small subunit ribosomal RNA
Source: RNAcentral
AUUGAACGCUGGCGGAAUGCUUUACACAUGCAAGUCGAACGGCAGCACGGACUUCGGUCUGGUGGCGAGUGGCGAACGGGUGAGUAACAUAUCGGAACGUAUCCAAUAAUGGGGGAUAACGAGUCGAAAGAUUCGCUAAUACCGCAUACGCCCUACGGGGGAAAGCUGGGGACCUUCGGGCCUGGCGUUAAUGGAGCGGCCGAUAUCUGAUUAGCUAGUUGGUGAGGUAAAGGCUCACCAAGGCGACGAUCAGUAGCUGGUCUGAGAGGACGACCAGCCACACUGGAACUGAGACACGGUCCAGACUCCUACGGGAGGCAGCAGUGGGGAAUUUUGGACAAUGGGCGAAAGCCUGAUCCAGCCAUUCCGCGUGAGUGAAGAAGGCCUUCGGGUUGUAAAGCUCCUUCGCAAGGGAAGAAAACUUAGCCACUAACAUUGGUUGAGGUUGACGGUACCUUGAUAAGAAGCACCGGCUAACUACGUGCCAGCCGCCGCAGUAA